GACGGAGGGGGCAAGCGUUGUCCGGAAUUACUGGGCGUAAAGCGCAUGUAGGCGGUCGUGUACGGCGAUGGUGAAAGCCCCCGGCUCAACUGGGGGAGGCCCGUCGCACCGGCACGACUCGAGGGCGGUAGAGGUCAACGGAAUUCCUGGUGUAGCGGUGAAAUGCGUAGAGAUCAGGAGGAACACCCGUGGCGAAGGCGGUUGACUGGGCCGUGCCUGACGCUGAGAUGCGAAAGCUAGGGGAGUGAACGGGAUUAGAUACCCCGGUAAUCCUAGCUGUAAACGAUGGACACUAGGUGUCAGCGGUAUCGACCCCGCUGGUGCCGGAGCUAACGCGUGAAGUGUCCCGCCUGGGGAGUACGGCCGCAAGGUUG
RNAcentral lists this ribosomal RNA (374 nucleotides) under uncultured prokaryote. RNAcentral describes it as "bacterial SSU rRNA". It matches the Rfam family "Bacterial small subunit ribosomal RNA", at positions 524 to 896 of the family's 1533-position model. The record is from RNAcentral.